Molecule: ribosomal RNA, 506 nt
Filed under: uncultured bacterium
Lineage: Bacteria
Description: partial 16S ribosomal RNA
Rfam family: Bacterial small subunit ribosomal RNA
Source: RNAcentral
GAUGAAUGCUAGCUACAGGCUUAACACAUGCAAGUCGGGGGGUAACGAGAGGAAAGCUUGCUUUCCUUGUCGACGACCGGCGCACGGGUGAGUAACGCGUAUCCAACCUGCCCCCAACUAGGGAAUAACCUUGCGAAAGUAAGACUAAUACCCUAUAAUUUCCUCAGAUGUCAUCUGACGAGGAAUAAAGAUUUAUCGGUUGUGGAUGGGGAUGCGUCUGAUUAGCUUGUUGGCGGGGUAACGGCUCACCAAGGCAACGAUCAGUAGGGGUUCUGAGAGGAAGGUCCCCCACAUUGGAACUGAGACACGGUCCAAACUCCUACGGGAGGCAGCAGUGAGGAAGAUUGGUCAAUGGGCGGAAGCCUGAACCAGCCAAGUAGCGUGCAGGAUGACGGCCCUAUGGGUUGUAAACUGCUUUUAUACAGGAAUAAAGUUAGCCACGUGUGGUUAUUUGUAGGUACUGUAUGAAUAAGGACCGGCUAAUUCCGUGCCAGCCGCCGCAGUAA